RNAcentral lists this ribosomal RNA (301 nucleotides) under uncultured bacterium. RNAcentral describes it as "partial 16S ribosomal RNA". It matches the Rfam family "Bacterial small subunit ribosomal RNA", at positions 509 to 807 of the family's 1533-position model. The record is from RNAcentral.
CAGUCGCCACGGGAACACGUAGGGGGCGAGCGUUGUCCGAAGUUACUGGGCGUAAAGCGCGCGUAGGCGGCUUCUUAAGUCUGAGGUGAAAGGUUCAACGCUUAACGUGAACAGUGCCUUGGAUACUGGGGAGCUUGAGUAUGGGAGAGGGCAGUGGAAUGGCUGGUGUAGCGGUGAAAUGCGUAGAUAUCAGUCGGAACACCCAUGGCGAAGGCAGCUGCCUGGCCUAAUACUGACGCUGAGGUGCGAAAGCGUGGGGAGCGAACGGGAUUAGAUACCCCGUAGUCCCUGUCUCUUAUAC